Molecule: long non-coding RNA, 505 nt
Organism: Nicotiana tabacum (common tobacco)
Lineage: Eukaryota; Viridiplantae; Streptophyta; Magnoliopsida; Solanales; Solanaceae
Source: RefSeq, a predicted model, not a curated record
CAGAAUGAAUAUUAACAGAGGCGUGAAACAUUCUCUGCACUCGUUGAGGAUAUGGCUAAUUGGAAGAGCAUAAUAAUAAACUCAAUUUCAUUGCCUUUCAAGUUACUAUGUGCAAAGGUAUGGAGGUCCCUAAAGUUUCUAGUGUUGAGUUCGGAGCUUCAAGGAGUCGACCCGCUCUUUGUUUUGUCCUCCUACAUGCUGAUCCCAAGAGAUCCAGAUAAUAAUCCAUUUACUAGGGAUUAUGCAAGCUAAUAUAGGUAUUUUCUUAAAUUUUGCAAUGCAGAUUUUUAUAUUCAAUGGAUGAGGAUAUGGCUCUUUUUCAGCUCUAUGGGUACGCUUGAUGUGCUUUACUGGAAUAAAUGAAUGUUUAGCAUGUUAUUCAUAUAGUCAUAUUUCAGCAUGUACGUAAUAUUUGGUUGAUCUUUCAUUUUUCUUUACAUGUGUAGCUCAAAUAACAUUAUGUUAAGUGUAUCUAGUUAAGGAAAAGAAACAUCUUUUAAAAUUA